Dicentrarchus labrax (European seabass) is the source of this 883-nucleotide long non-coding RNA. RefSeq lists it as uncharacterized. The transcript is spliced from 3 exons. NCBI's taxonomy places the organism in Eukaryota, Metazoa, Chordata, Actinopteri, Moronidae. The record is from RefSeq and is a predicted model, not a curated record.
UGCCUCAGCACGGCCCGGACUGCAGCGCCCGGUGCGCUCGGUUCAAACACCCCGCAGCACCGGCGGAGCGGCGCUACAGUAUAAAAUGGGUCUCUCUGAACCACUAGAAUGUCUCCACCCCUCAAGGCUGCAGUGAGAUAUGUAUGAAGCGCUUCCAGCUCCUAAAGUCUGAGUGAGAGGCGGAGAUUCAGCCAGCAGGGAGGAGGAGGAGGGGUGAGAGUCUGCAGAGACUGAAUGAUGCCAAACAGGACUGACUCUGAAAAGUUGGGGCACUUCCAGACAGAGUGGCGUUUCCAUGGUGACCACUAUGGGAUGCCAAGCUGGUUGCCGGGAGAAGAAGAGGCGGAGGAAGAGGAGGAGGAGGAGGAAGAAGAGGUCGAGGCCAGUGGAUUUUUUUUCCAGCUUUUCCACAAUGAUUGAAGUGUGUGGGUGGGCUCUCUCUCUCUCUCUCUCUCUCUCUCUCUCUCUCUCUCUCUCUCUCUCAUGGCAGCAGUGUGAGUGUGGGGGUGGCUGUGUUAUUAUUAUUUGCUGUAUUAUUUGCAACAGAUUCUGCAGUGAACAGAAGAGAAAGUGUGAGAGUGCUGUUGGAGGUGAAGGAUUAUGGGGGGGAUUAUUUGUAUUUGGGAGCAUUUAUGGACAAAAAGCAAGCUGGGAAAAGACUCAGAUUCAGAUAGGAGGCCUGUGAUGUUCUCUGGCACAGCAACAUGUGGUUUUAGCUUAAGAGAAUUUAAAUGUAAAAACCACACCUGGAGAAUUCCAGAUACUUCUUGGUAACAAAGUUUUUAAUAGUUAAACUUGAGGCCAGAGCAACAGAAUCGCAGUUUUGGCAGCCUAAACAUGGUCCGAAACUCAUGAAACGUGGCACACAUGUAGCGGUGGUGAA